This 467-nucleotide ribosomal RNA is filed under the name uncultured bacterium. RNAcentral's name for it is "partial 16S ribosomal RNA". It matches the Rfam family "Bacterial small subunit ribosomal RNA", at positions 28 to 506 of the family's 1533-position model. The record is from RNAcentral.
GACGAACGCUGGCGGCGUGCUUAACACAUGCAAGUCGAACGGAAAGGCCCUGCUUUUGUGGGGUGCUCGAGUGGCGAACGGGUGAGUAACACGUGAGUAACCUGCCCUUGACUUUGGGAUAACUUCAGGAAACUGGGGCUAAUACCGGAUAGGAGCUCCUGCUGCAUGGUGGGGGUUGGAAAGUUUCGGCGGUUGGGGAUGGACUCGCGGCUUAUCAGCUUGUUGGUGGGGUAGUGGCUUACCAAGGCUUUGACGGGUAGCCGGCCUGGGAGGGUGACCGGCCACAGUGGGAUUGAGAAAGGGCCCGGACUCAUAAGGGAGGAAGGAGUGGGGAAUAGUGCAAAAUGGGCGGAAGCCUGAUGCAGCAACGCCGCGUGGGGGAGGACGGCCUUCGGGUUGUAAAACGAUUUCGCCUGUGACGAAGCGUGAGUGACGGUAAUGGGUAAAGAAGCACCGGCUAACUACGU